GAUGAACGCUGGCGGUAUGCUUAACACAUGCAAGUCGAACGGACUCUUCGGAGUUAGUGGCGGGCGGGUGAGUAACGCGUGAGAAUCUGCCUUCAGGUCGGGGACAACAGUUGGAAACGACUGCUAAUACCCGAUGUGCAGCAAUGUGAAAGAUUUAUUGCCUGAAGAUGAGCUCGCGUCUGAUUAGCUAGUAGGUGUGGUAAUGGCGCACCUAGGCGGCGAUCAGUAACUGGUCUGAGAGGAUGACCAGUCACACUGGGACUGAGACACGGCCCAGACUCCUACGGGAGGCAGCAGUGGGGAAUUUUCCGCAAUGGGCGAAAGCCUGACGGAGCAAUACCGCGUGAGGGACGACGGCUUUUUGGGGUUGUAAACCCUCGUUUUCCCUGGGAAGAAGAUCUGACGGUACCAGGGGAAUCAGCAUCGGCUAACUUCGUGCCAGCAGCCGCGGUAAU
Molecule: ribosomal RNA, 455 nt
Filed under: uncultured cyanobacterium
Lineage: Bacteria; Bacillati; Cyanobacteriota
Description: bacterial SSU rRNA
Rfam family: Bacterial small subunit ribosomal RNA
Source: RNAcentral